Molecule: ribosomal RNA, 479 nt
Filed under: uncultured bacterium
Lineage: Bacteria
Description: bacterial SSU rRNA
Rfam family: Bacterial small subunit ribosomal RNA
Source: RNAcentral
AAUCAACGCUGGCGGCGUGCCUAACACAUGCAAGUCGAACGCGGUUACCCCGCAAGGGGGUAACUGAGUGGCGAACGGGUGAGUAACGCGUGGGUGACCUACCUUCGAGUGGGGGAUAACGUCCCGAAAGGGACGCUAAUACCGCAUAACAUCCUGCCUUUGAACAGGCGGUGAUCAAAGCCGGGGAUCGCAAGACCUGGCGCUUGAUGAGGGGCCCGCGUCUGAUUAGCUAGUUGGUGAGGAAUGGCCCACCAAGGCAACGAUCAGUAUCCGGCCUGAGAGGGGCGGACGGACACACUGGGACUGAGACACGGCCCAGACUCCUACGGGAGGCAGCAGUGGGGAAUUGUUCGCAAUGGGCGCAAGCCUGACGACGCAACGCCGCGUGGAGGAUGAAGGUCUUCGGAUUGUAAACUCCUGUUGCUCGGGACGAAUGCUCCGACCUAAUACGUCGGAGUGUGACGGUACCGGGUGAGGAA